This 654-nucleotide long non-coding RNA is filed under the name Ananas comosus (pineapple). RNAcentral's name for it is "long non-coding RNA (ACOM_LNC001546)". The record is from RNAcentral. Lineage: Eukaryota; Viridiplantae; Streptophyta; Magnoliopsida; Poales; Bromeliaceae.
CUGACACUUUACUACUCCAACAUUUAUUUAUUAUUAUAACUUUUCGCUCAAACUUUAUAAAUUAUUAUUACAAUAAUUUUACAAUUUAAUUUAAUCGACUAAAUAUGUGACGUGCCACUGAUGUGGAAGUCACAUAGUAUUUUAAUUAUCAUUGCAUCGCAUCAUCACUUCUACAUUAGUAAUUGAUAGAUAUUUAAUCAAUUAAAUUAGAUUGUAAAAUUUAAUUAUAAUAAUUCAAAAUUUUUAAGAAAAAAUUUUAAAUACCAACCAUGUGGUUCCGCUUUUUUUAUUUUAAUAUCUUGCGGUUUAAAAUGUAUCAAUUUAGUACACUAUAAUUUUAUUUUUCUCUUUUUAUUAUCCCCCUACUAAUUUUUUUUCGUUAAAUUAAUAACAAAGUUAAAACGAAAAGAUACUAAAGUGAAUAUUCGAUAAAUCUAUGUGAGAUAUCUGAAGUAUUUUCUAUAUAAUUUAAUGAAAUGUUAACGAAGGAGCUGACGAAAAGAGAAAAAAUAAAAACAUAGUGUACUAAAUUGACACAUUUUAAACCACAUGGUACUAAAGUGAGAAAGUACGAAACUACGGGAAUGAUAUUUGAAGUUUAUCCAAAUUUUAAAAUAAAAGUUAUAAUAAAUUAAAAUAUUAGAAUCAAAGUGU